AUAGGAUUCCUGAGAGAGCACCAAGGGAAAUGCGUUUAUAGACUCUUUCUUAUUCAAAAUAAGAACUGUUCUUAAUACAUCCCAAAGGUCACUGUCACAGCAAUUGCAUUAUUUUGUAUAUUGAUGAAAUUUAUAUGGUAAAUACGAAUACUAUAAAAUCUUUCAUACCCACGGCAAAAAGCUGGUUGGGAUUCAGAGAUUCGCAAACUCUUGACUACAUCGCUUACGACCCCUGAUGAAGUCCUGUGAGGACGAAACGCGUUGGGUAUUCGCGCAAUUGUGAAGUUGAACACACUUCUGAACGCAUUGGUAGAAAUAACCAUCACUAAUGUCAACAGAUAAUUAGUCUGUAUUUUCAAAGUCAAAUACAUGUUUUAUUGAA
Pseudophryne corroboree (corroboree frog) is the source of this 382-nucleotide long non-coding RNA. RefSeq lists it as uncharacterized. The transcript has 4 exons. The record is from RefSeq and is a predicted model, not a curated record. NCBI's taxonomy places the organism in Eukaryota, Metazoa, Chordata, Amphibia, Anura, Myobatrachidae.